RNAcentral lists this long non-coding RNA (1282 nucleotides) under Naja naja (Indian cobra). RNAcentral describes it as "lncRNA (ENSNNAG00000018885.1)". The record is from RNAcentral. Lineage: Eukaryota; Metazoa; Chordata; Lepidosauria; Squamata; Elapidae.
AGCAGAGCUGGCAACCGGGUCUCUCAGGCUGCAAUCACGAAGGGCAACUGGAGGAGCUCCCCAUCCCUCCAGACCCCCAACUUUCCCAAAGACAGUUCCUGCAGCGCCAGAGUGGAGCGCUCACCUAGUCCCGACGGAUUGGCGGCAGACAGCUUACACUGCAAAAACUUUCCUGACUGAGCAGGGUGUGGUUCCUGUUAAGCUAUUGUGAUUGUAGCAUGUGGGAGUAUACAUGGCAUGUGCUUGUGAACAUGAGAGGCAAGGCUCACAAAACCACAUUCUCAAUCACUAUACUAUAUACAUGAUAAUAAACUCAGUUAAGGUUCAAGAAUUCUUUAUGGCUACAAACCAUUCUUUAUGGUUCCUUCGGGAUAUACUGCAUUAUGCAGACAAAACAAAAUAUAUAUGGCAGCACUGCAUUAUCUGCCCUUACAUUAAUGUCAUGUCCCAAGAGCAUUAGAAUACAUGACAGGCGAGAGGCAAUGGCCAUGGCAAAGAGAUGUAGUUAAAGAGGCACAAAAGGGAGCAUUUUGUGGGGACAAAGAGAACAGUUACAUUUGUCUCUCUUGCCCGGAGCAUUUGGUGGUGCACAGCUCACGCAUUUACAGCCAGACAGGAACUCUAACUGGCCUAACUGGCUGUUCCAAACUCUGAACAAAUUCCACAGGUUUUGAAUGAUCCCAAAAAGGCUGCUGUGUAUCUGACAUUUCUCUGCCAGUGGGAAAGAACUGCACCACCCAGAUUUACUCCUGGUUUGUAAAAACUUCUGCCACGGCUUCAAUACUGCCUGCAGGGGCUGAGAGCCAGGAUUGUGCACGAUCAGCAGUUCUGCUUUAUGCACAACACACGAUUAACUUGUCACCGCCAAAUAAACCCGAAGAACGCCUUAGUGCACAGAGUAAGCUCUGCUGCAGGCGCGAGGGUUUGCCUUCUCCCUGAUGACUAAGGCUGAAUGGUGCCCUUCAAAGGCAAUCCCGGCUGUUCCGCCAGAGAAAGCCCUCGGGGGAUCUCCGCCAGGGAUCCCUUCAAACAAAGCCACCCUGCCGGCCUUUGGCGCAGCUCGGAGAACCGCCCUCUCCUCCCGGGCACUCAGGCAGGGCUGGGAGGAGCCGUCCUACGGAACGCGGCUCGCUCGGCCCCCGUUGCCCUGUUUCUGCCCUUCAUGUGGCUCUUCGCUGCUUCAGUUCAGCGCGAGCCACGCUGCCUGUGGCCAGAGAAGGGCCCGAGUGACCCUAAGGGGCCUAUUGAUUUCUACAUCAGAAAAGUAGCAGAAGAAGAAUAA